AGAGUUUGAUCAUGGCUCAGAACGAACGCUGGCGGCAGGCCUAACACAUGCAAGUCGAACGGGUGCCUUCGGGCACUAGUGGCGGACGGGUGAGUAACGCGUGGGAACGUGCCCUUUGGUUCGGAAUAGCCUCGGGAAACUGGGAGUAAUACCGGAUACGGUCGAGAGACGAAAGAUUUAUCGCCGAAGGAUCGGCCCGCGUUGGAUUAGGUAGUUGGUGGGGUAAUGGCCUACCAAGCCGACGAUCCAUAGCUGGUUUGAGAGGAUGAUCAGCCACACUGGGACUGAGACACGGCCCAGACUCCUACGGGAGGCAGCAGUGGGGAAUCUUAGACAAUGGGGGAAACCCUGAUCUAGCCAUGCCGCGUGAUCGAUGAAGGCCUUAGGGUUGUAAAGAUCUUCCAGUGGGGAAGAUAAUGACGGUACCCACAGAAGAAGCCCCGGCUAACUCCGUGCCAGCAGCCGCGGUAAUUC
RNAcentral lists this ribosomal RNA (474 nucleotides) under Aeromonas sp. RNAcentral describes it as "bacterial SSU rRNA". It matches the Rfam family "Bacterial small subunit ribosomal RNA", at positions 8 to 526 of the family's 1533-position model. The record is from RNAcentral. Lineage: Bacteria; Pseudomonadati; Pseudomonadota; Gammaproteobacteria; Aeromonadales; Aeromonadaceae. RNAcentral also lists the same sequence under 1 other name.